Molecule: non-coding RNA, 98 nt
Filed under: Enterococcus sulfureus
Lineage: Bacteria; Bacillati; Bacillota; Bacilli; Lactobacillales; Enterococcaceae
Also listed under: 1 other name
Description: THF-I sequence
Rfam family: THF (Tetrahydrofolate) riboswitch aptamer
About the family: THF riboswitch presents a pseudoknot that joins P1-P2 and the loop of P3 and two THF binding.
Source: RNAcentral
AUCAGAGUAGGAGAUAAAGCGUUAAGUGCCAAAAGGAUGGGAUGUUGCCUAUUGGACGAAGGAUGAAGAUCCGCGGUUUUGUCUUCGCAUUCGCUGCA